Molecule: unclassified non-coding RNA, 1761 nt
Filed under: Zea mays
Lineage: Eukaryota; Viridiplantae; Streptophyta; Magnoliopsida; Poales; Poaceae
Description: misc RNA Zm00001eb309280
Source: RNAcentral
AUGAAGCAUUUUAAUAAACAAUUAAUACAACCACAAUGCACGGUUACUACCGUCGAGAGAACUGACACAACUAAUAUAACUAAUUAAUCCAAGCCUUGAACUAAUAAUAAAAACUAGCAAAUCCAGUGUACUAUUACUAGUCGAUACAAAAUUCAUGAGAACGACGAUGAUUCCGGUUCAGACUAUCCAUCAAACAUUAAGCACGCGAUGAACAACGUCCUUCUCGUCAUCGCCCAACAACAAGAAUUCCACUUCUAUCAUCGACCCCAUAACAUCACACAACCUAACGACAUAAUAACGGAUCUAGUCAUAAUUACCAAGUGCACACCUCGCAUUACUGGUAUUUCUAACUUAAUCGUAUACGUAUACGAAGCGUCUUAUUUUACGAUCAUAAAACCGAUAGUAAAAAUAGCAAAUCAGCUCACCACAUCACAACUCGAUUUGGUAGUUGCCUGAACGACGAUGGCCUUCAGCUGAAGUCCUCGAUCGAACAUCUGGCAAGCGUGACCGACGAGCUAAGGCUGAGGCGAAGCUUGACGACGAGAUCGAAUAGGGGAUGUGAGCGUGAGGGUUUCACAGCGAGGAUGAGCGACACCGUGGAUUCUUGGUCCGACAUUUAAUCGAACACAACGGAAGCGAGACACAGCAGGAAUGGUAGUAUUAACCAUGAGCACGAUAAAGGACGUGCUCCUGCACGGCGUGAAGGCGAACGACGACAACCGGCGUGAAGGCGAACGACGACAACCUACGACAGCAGGAAUGGAAGACUUGGUCGAGGCAGGGUCCGAGCAUCCAGAGUUUUUGCCGAGGCCGGACAGAGAAGGAUUACAAAUCCUAGGCACGACGGUGGCCAUAGCCAAGCAGAGGGACGCGACUACGGGCAGAGGAGAACUCGGCACGACGAGAGACGACGAAACGCUACGCGCGUGAUGAGGAAGCAGAAAACCACGAGCCCACGACAAGGGAGCUCGGUGCGCAGCGAGCUAGAGCUGAGGGAACGCGUGGCUGGGGAGAAGAGCAGGGGCUGCGUAGCGGCCAAGCGAGCUGCGAGCAGGCACGCGACGACCACAGCAAGGGAGCUCCGAGCUGGAACGAUGGGAAAACUCCACGGUGGGAGUCGCGGUUUGGACAGAGCAAAGGGAAAAGCGGCUGGGCGCCAGAGGACUGAGCAAAUAAGCGCGACUGCGCGCAGGGAGCUUCGCGAGCUGGAGCAGGCGAUUCCGCGGCAUGGGCGCGAGCUGCGCGCCAUGGAACGAGCAAGGGCCGGGGCGAGUUCGAUGCGGAUCUGGCCCUCCUCGGCCAUGCGCGCCAUCCAUGGCGAGCAGAGGAGUGCACAGAAGAUAGAGAGAGGAGGGAGGAGAGAGGAGCAGGGACACGCGGCGAGGGGAGCAGGGAGACGAAGACGAGCGCUGUGCGGCGGACGAGAGAUAUGCAGGGAGAUUGGACGACCGAGCUGGGCACUGGAGAAGUGGAGAGGCUGGGCACGCAGGAAGUUGAAGCUUGCAGGGAAUCCGGCGCUGGGAGCUUCGAGCAGAGGAUCCACAUCCGACCAGGCGCCGGGGAGAAGAGGAGCAGAGGCUGGGCGAGGCACCAGGGAGAGGCGACCGCGCCAUGGGGGCUCGAUAGGGAGCAGGGCGCGCGCCCGCGCCGCCGCGCGGAACCAGGGAGAGGGAGAGGAGCGCGCGCUGGGAAAAUGGAGCGUCGUGAGAGCUCCACGUCGAGGGAGAGGAGUACCACGGCCAGGACGAGGAGCUGGGACGG